AUCAGAAAUAGAAGAUAUAUGUUGGAGAUAUAUAUCUGCAAUAUCGCAUGCAUUUAUUGAAUGUGGCUGCAAGGUUCAACAAGCUGUUAUAUCUAUCUAUGGGCACUCCAUAAUACAAAAGCAGGGUCACGAUCAGUUGAGUUCACCACAGCAACAAGAAGAAAAGGAGCCAGAUCAGAGAAGAAGUGGUGGCGAUGCCGCCGAGGGCAGUGCCGUCGUCGUCUCCCUUGCCUCUUGCACUCGCCGCCGUCGCCAUAGUCGUCGUAGCACUUGCCGUUUCCUCCUGUUCCGCGACCACCGAUGCUCCAGGCCUGGGAGUGGGAGCGAGAGAGAUGGUGGCACGGGACGACCCCAAGUGCGAGGAGAUGGUGCCCUGCACCUUCAGGCGCUGCAUCCAGUACUGCGUCAGCAUCGGGCUGCAGCCCAAGGGGUUCUGCAACUCCAAGCCCAACAUGCAGGUCUACUGCUGCUGCGUCAUCCCCUAGCAUCAUAGCUCCUCGUCAACACACCUAAAUCUGCAGCCCUGCUAGAGAAGAUACGAUCUCUAUGCAGAUUAGCUGCAGCGAUAUAUAUAGAUGGAUGAAUCGUGCAAGCGGUUGAACUAUGGUGCUGGAAUCUGUAAUAUAUAUAAGCGGAUCAUCCAAAGUGCAAAACAUAUAGUUUUUGCAUUGCC
This 673-nucleotide unclassified non-coding RNA is filed under the name Zea mays. RNAcentral's name for it is "misc RNA Zm00001eb258650". Lineage: Eukaryota; Viridiplantae; Streptophyta; Magnoliopsida; Poales; Poaceae. The record is from RNAcentral.